AUGUUUAAUGCCAUAGCGUUUGUAUAACAUUUAGAGAUGAACCAGAAACCGCCAUCAACGUUCUUCAAAAUAUCUUCUUUUGUGAUUUACAGAAAGAGAAUUUGGAUUUUUGGGAGAACAAUCCUUUUAAGGACACCUGGUUCUCAAGCUACAGUAGCUAUGAGGAGUGUUGCUGUGUGGGCACCUCUUCAUCUAGGCUUCUUCGGAUCUGUUCUACUUCACUUACGACGGAAAGACCACCACUGAAAGAGCGUCCUCUAUUGGAGUUUCCCUCUUUUGAGGAAUCUGAAACUAGCUUUAACAUGGCAGAUCCUGAUGUCUCAACCUACCUCCCCAGCAUGUUUGAACUGGUUGACACCACCAGUGAACACUUCAACCAAGACACCUCAGGACAUGGUGAAAUACUUGGUAUAUGAGGACCGCCUGCUUGAGCUUUUUAAAAUCUGCCCCACCUGCUCAAGAGUCUGCAGGGCAGUCACAUUUAUAAAUGGAACCUUCCUUUCUGUGACCCAGAAGUGCCUCCACCAGAGUUGUUUAUUCACCAGAGAGUGGAAGAGUCAACCACUUCUAAGCAGCACUCCAGCAGGGAAUCUGCAUCUAUCAGCCGCUGUCUACUACACAGGCUCUUCUUUCAUCCAGACUAACAAGACCAACCAGCUAGUGGGACUAAAACAGAAACAAAAUGUAUCUCUUGGUGGUGGUGAUAUGAGAGCCGACAGUCCAGGCCGUUGUGCAAAGUACGGCUCAUACUCCAUGAUGGAUCUCAGCACAAACAAAAUUGUUGAUAUCCAGCUUGUACAGCACUCACCAAAAAGGUUGAUGCCAUCUCUAAGGAGAAGGACUGCAACAAUAUCAUCAAAAAUCACCUCUACUGGUCAGCAGGCGGUACAUCCAGUGGAGAGGAAACAGUGGCAAAAUGGACUUCUCUGCUCAACCACAUCCAAAAUGUGCACGUCCAUGAAAAUUCUCUAUUCCCCAAGUGCAUCCACAAUCCUUCUGCCGACAAAUACAAGUGGCUGAAGCCUGGUGCGACACUUUUCUACACCAAUUAUGGAAUGUAAUAAGAACCCUGUAACCCUUUAUUUUUUCAAGUACCCCUGCAGUACCCCAGGGGUAGUAGAGAGGAACAUGUGUCCACAGUGAAAACCAAAUGCACCACUGGUUAGUUCAUUCUGUCGGUAUCUCUAUAGUAAUAUAUGCAUGAUUCUGCAUUUACAUAUUUGCCCCUCUGUCCAGAUGUGUUGUGACCAUAACGUGUAGUAUAUUUUCCACUUUGACAAAAUAUUAAACAAGCAAUAAACAUACCAUUAGUAUUGUAGUUACUUUGGUAACGGUUUGUCAACAGUUGAGACCAAAUGAAUGACUACUUGUAAUAUGCUCUCUCCUGUGUUUUAGAAUAUGUGACUGAGCUUACAGAUCUACUGUUUAACAAGAUCAUCAAUGACCCGGCACCCUUUGUGGCUGAGAUUAAAGCAGUGGAUGUUCCUGGAUUCCUGUGUUCAUAGUAUGAGCGACCUGAGGAAUCAGACGCAAUUGCUAGCGAUAUGUCCAGGUUCAGCUGUACAGGUCGAGUGGGAACACCUGGUGACCCUACCAAUCCCUAUCCUAAUAAAUCCUCGGUUUUCUGCCAAUAUGCAAGUCAACAUUUUCACUGUAUUAUUCUGGCUUUUACUUAAAAUUGUUAUUUUGGUAAUAUAUACACAGUACAUUACAAUUAUAAAUUUUUAUGUACGAUAGUACAUGUACAUGUACAUGAUGUACGAAUGCUGUCCAGAUUUGACACCAGUGUUUUCCCCAUGUCUAGUUGUGGGUGUCUUCCAAAAUCAUAUCUACCUGCCUCUGUUGCUAUGACUUACCUCCUGCCACAAUCCAUCCCUGCACUACCACCAACAUUUUUUAAAACAGUAAGUUGUGACAUACAAACAUGUCAUUACUCAAAAACGGACUGACAGCUGUACAAGACUUUUGUGAAACGUAUUGAAAAUGUAAUCACUAAAUAAUUGAGCACAAAACAUAAUUACAUUUAAAAAUGACUGUAUAUUUAAAUGGGAGGUUUAAAGCCUGUGUACUCCCAUCUUCAUCUGGGUACACUUGAUGUAUACGGAGCACAACACAAGAAGGUAUGACAACCCUGUUGUGCUUUCCUAGGUAUCCCCAUUUCCAGGAAACAAAACAUUUGUGUGCAGAGUCGCGAGUACGACUGUAAUGAUAAAAUAAAAACAAAAUGUCAUGUCAUGAUUUUAUAAUUAUCUAGGAUUGUUUUGGGUAGGUGGUGUUCUGUCUGAUAAUUGCAAUAAAA
RNA transcript from Triplophysa dalaica, 2299 nucleotides. RefSeq lists it as uncharacterized. The record is from RefSeq and is a predicted model, not a curated record. Lineage: Eukaryota; Metazoa; Chordata; Actinopteri; Cypriniformes; Nemacheilidae. The transcript has 6 exons.